UAAAAGGGCUUCUGUCAUGUUUGGCACAGGGAGAGUGGGGAAAUCCAUUUUUCUUGCGGAAUCGCAAUCAAGAGAUUUCGGAAGCAUAAUUUUUAUAACAGGGGCUGCUAGAGAUCACUUGUCCUGGCGUCCCG
This is a small nuclear RNA of Sphaeramia orbicularis (orbiculate cardinalfish), 134 nucleotides long. Ensembl annotates it as U11 spliceosomal RNA. Lineage: Eukaryota; Metazoa; Chordata; Actinopteri; Kurtiformes; Apogonidae. The record is from Ensembl.